This 473-nucleotide ribosomal RNA is filed under the name uncultured bacterium. RNAcentral describes it as "bacterial SSU rRNA". It matches the Rfam family "Bacterial small subunit ribosomal RNA", at positions 917 to 1382 of the family's 1533-position model. The record is from RNAcentral.
GGGCCCGCACAAGCGGAGGAGCAUGUGGCUUAAUUCGAUGCAACGCGAAGAACCUUACCAGGGUUUGACAUGCAACUGCACGUCCCGUGAAAGCGGGAUUCCUUCGAGGGUGUUGCACAGGUGCUGCAUGGCUGUCGUCAGUUCGUGCCGUGAGGUGUUGGGUUAAGUCCCACAACGAACGCAACCCUUGUGUUUAGUUGCCACCACCGGUGAUGAACCGGUGAGCACUCUAGACAGACUGCCCGUGUUAAGCGGGAGGAAGGUGGGGAUGACGUCAAGUCAGUAUGGCCUUUAUAUCCUGGGCUGCACACGUGCUACAAUGGCCGGUCCAAAGGGAUGCAAUACCGCAAGGUGGAGCAAAUCCCCAAAAAGCGGCCUCAGUACGGAUUGGAGUCUGCAACUCGACUCCAUGAAGUUGGAUUCGCUAGUAACGACGCAUCAGCUACGGUGUCGUGAAUACGUUCCCGGGCCUU